This 200-nucleotide long non-coding RNA is filed under the name Gossypium raimondii (Peruvian cotton). RNAcentral describes it as "long non-coding RNA (GRAI_LNC005620)". The record is from RNAcentral. Lineage: Eukaryota; Viridiplantae; Streptophyta; Magnoliopsida; Malvales; Malvaceae.
CAUAAUAGCAAUUAAAGACCCGGAUCUUAAAGUUUUAAGGUGAAAAUGGUUUGAUGAAAACGGACCGUGACACACUAUCUAAUGAGAUAGAAACCAAACGGUAUCAAGAUGAACGCCACACUCAGACGAGUGAUAAGUUCAGAAAAGAAACAAGUUUGAUGCCACUAGCUUAGCUAGAUAAGUCAAGUUGAAUCUCGAAG